Molecule: transfer RNA, 72 nt
Filed under: Camelus bactrianus (Bactrian camel)
Lineage: Eukaryota; Metazoa; Chordata; Mammalia; Artiodactyla; Camelidae
Also listed under: 2 other names
Rfam family: tRNA
About the family: Transfer RNA (tRNA) molecules are approximately 80 nucleotides in length. Their secondary structure includes four short double-helical elements and three loops (D, anti-codon, and T loops).
Source: Rfam by way of RNAcentral
GUGGGUGUAGCUCAGUGUUAGAGUGCAUGCUUAGCGUGCAUGAGGUCCUGGAUUCAAUCCCCAGUACCUCCA